GUGUCGCAUCAUCUGGUAUGAAAGUUUUCGUUACCACAGUAGGAAUUCUAUCCCUAGCUAGAUAUAUAUUUUUGCUUUGUCCUAUCCACCAAAAACCCAGAAAAAUAUAUUGCUCGGACAUUUGUUUUAAUCUGUUAUUUUAGUGAGUUCAGUUAAGUCACAGUCCAUUCGUCUUUGUUUUAGUUGCUGAUCAUUUAUCCUUCGCGUGUUCGUUGUGCCUCUUUUAUAUCUAAAAAUCCCCCAAAAAAACCUAUAUAGUCUAUAUAAUCCUUUGUGUUAUCUUUGAUCCUAUCAAGUUAUAGUUUCUGGUUGUGCUUUGUUUCUAUCAACAAGUUUACAAGUAAUAUAUCUGAUCACUGUGUUUAGUUAUAAAAAAAGAAAAGUGUGCCAAAAAAAGGAAAGAAAGAAAAGAGUAAAAAAAUUCAGAAAGAAAGUUGCAAGAUCAGGUUAUAUCAAGUGCAUCAUUUCUGAAAGUUUUUGUAU
RNAcentral lists this long non-coding RNA (483 nucleotides) under Sorghum bicolor (sorghum). RNAcentral describes it as "long non-coding RNA (SBIC_LNC002994)". Lineage: Eukaryota; Viridiplantae; Streptophyta; Magnoliopsida; Poales; Poaceae. The record is from RNAcentral.